RNAcentral lists this ribosomal RNA (496 nucleotides) under uncultured bacterium. RNAcentral describes it as "partial 16S ribosomal RNA". It matches the Rfam family "Bacterial small subunit ribosomal RNA", at positions 29 to 507 of the family's 1533-position model. The record is from RNAcentral.
AUGAACGCUGGCGGCGUGCCUAAUCCAUGCCAGUCGAGCGAACAGAUGAGGAGCUUGCUCCUCUGACGUUAGCGGCGGACGGGUGAGUAACACGUGGAUAACCUACCUAUAAGACUGGGAUAACUUCGGGAAACCGGAGCUAAUACCGGAUAAUAUAUUGAACCGCAUGGUUCAAUAGUGAAAGACGGUUUUGCUGUCACUUAUAGAUGGAUCCGCGCCGCAUUAGCUAGUUGGUAAGGUAACGGCUUACCAAGGCAACGAUGCGUAGCCGACCUGAGAGGGUGAUCGGCCACACUGGAACUGAGACACGGUCCAGACUCCUACGGGAGGCAGCAGUAGGGAAUCUUCCGCAAUGGGCGAAAGCUUGACGGAGCAACGCCGCGUGAGUGAUGAAGGUCUUCGGAUCGUAAAACUCUGUUAUUAGGGAAGAACAAAUGUGUAAGUAACUAUGCACGUCUUGACGGUACCUAAUCAGAAAGCCACGGCUAACUACGUG